Molecule: long non-coding RNA, 736 nt
Filed under: Spirodela polyrhiza (greater duckweed)
Lineage: Eukaryota; Viridiplantae; Streptophyta; Magnoliopsida; Alismatales; Araceae
Description: long non-coding RNA (SPOL_LNC002100)
Source: RNAcentral
UGAUCAUCGUUCAGGAUGGGGAUCCCACGAAGACGAUCCGGGUGCCGGAGGGGUUCGACUACGAGCUCUAUAACAGGAACGACAUCAACCGCAUCCUCGGCCCCAAGGCCUCCUGCAUCUCCUUCAAGGACUCCGCCUGCCGUUGCUUCGGCUUCAUGGUCUCGAAGAAGAAGUACAUCUUCACCAUCGACGACGACUGUUUCGUAAGAUUCCCCUUCCCCCGCCCCUUUCUAGUCUCUUCUUCCCUCUCAUCUCUCCGCUCCCCCUCCGAUCCGACCGUCUCUCCGCCUCCGCUUUCGAAUUCUCUGGAGAAUUGGGGAUCUAGGGGAGUUUGUCGACAAAUCAUGCCCCAUUCAUCACUGGUCCUGUCCAUCUUCAAUGCUGGCGGCCUGGAUCUGGUGGCGCGAAGUCCAUAAUCCAUAUUGCGGCCCUAAAUUUGAUCCGAUCUUGCUCUGUUGACCUCGGCUACGCUCUCUCUCAUCCGGAUUUCCGUCGGCGGCGCUUCAAUGGCAGGUGGCUAAGAACCCUAGCGGCGAAGACAUCAACGCCCUGGCACAGCACAUCGAAAACCUGCUGACGCCGUCGACGCCCUUCUUCUUCAACACGCUUUACGACCCCUACCGCAAGGGCGCCGACUUCGUCCGCGGGUACCCGUUCAGCAUGAGGGAGGGCGCGCCGACGGCCAUCUCACACGGCCUCUGGCUGAACAUCCCGGACUACGACGCGCCCACUCAGC